GGAAAAGAAACCAACCGGGAUUGCCUCAGUAACGGCGAGUGAAGCGGCAAGAGCUCAAAUUUGAAAUCUUCGGAGUUGUAAUUUGAAGGCGCCACUUUCGGCCCAAGGAAGUGCCUUGGAACAGGCCAUCGCAGAGGGUGAGAGUCCCGUCAGAUGGGCCGGCAUGGGGCGCCGACGAGUCGAGUUGUUUGGGAAUGCAGCUCUAAGUGGGUGGUAAAUUCCAUCUAAAGCUAAAUAGCGGCGAGAGACCGAUAGCGAACAAGUACAGUGAUGGAAAGAUGAAAAGAACUUUGAAAAGAGAGUGAAACAGUACGUGAAAUUGUUGAAAGGGAAGGGCAGGCCAUCAGCACGCGGGGCCGGCAUGCGCGGCACAGACAAGACCCCGGGAGCAGCGCAGCGAUGCCCGGGGGGAUGUGUGCGGCGCGUGGCGGCCGGGCCUAAUGAUGGUCUGCCGCCCG
This 458-nucleotide ribosomal RNA is filed under the name Hyphopichia sp. UFMG-CM- Y2901. RNAcentral's name for it is "LSU rRNA". It matches the Rfam family "Eukaryotic large subunit ribosomal RNA", at positions 55 to 651 of the family's 3401-position model. Lineage: Eukaryota; Fungi; Ascomycota; Pichiomycetes; Serinales; Debaryomycetaceae. The record is from RNAcentral.